AGGACAGAAGCUGGACAGGGAAAUAGACAACCUUCCAUUCCCAGAGUCGCCCAAAUAUACUUGGGGCAGGAGGUGAUGGUCAAGAACUUGAGGAACAGGGGAGAAAAAAGAGAAAAAAACUGUGGGGAUCAGCCUCAUUCAAUAAAUUUAGGAGCUUUCUACCUUUUCUGAAGUCACCAGACAGUUUCCAUAAGCCAGUGAAUAUCUUCCUUCAUAAUCUAACAGACAGAGUCUUCACAAUCGCGAACCCCAGGUCUUUGAUCUCCUUUGAGUCAACUUUUGUGCAGAGUGAGAGACGGUGUUUCAUUCUUCUACGUUCGUUUUUGGAGUAUAGGAAAGCUAUUGACCAGAAACUUUGCAACUGCUAAAAGAAAACAUAUCAUCAACACUCCAACAGACUGAUCCAAUGGUCAACUUCCUUAACAAGAUACCAAAAGCUAAGAUAUAAAACCAAGAAUCAACAGCAUGGUAUUGGCAUCAAAAUAGACAUGAAGACCAAUGAAAUAGAAUAGAUAACACAGACAAACCCACAAACUUACAGUCAUCUGAUACUUGACAAAGGUGACAAAAGUGUAUGUUGGAGAAAAGACCGCCUUUUUAACAAAGGGUGCUGAGGAAAAAGGACAUCCAUAUGUAGGAGAAUGAAACUAGAACCCUAUCUCUCACCCUGCCCCAAAGCCAACCCAGAGUAGAUCAAAGACUUAGGAAUUAGACCAGAAACUUUGCAAGUGCUACAAGAAACUUCAACUUAUUGGUACCCGCACCAACUUUCUUAACAGGACCCCAAAAUUUCAAGAAAUAAAUUCAAGAAUUAAUAAGUGGGAUGCCAUCAAAUUAAAAGCCUUCUACAAAGCAAAGGAAACAAGAACAUGAAGAGAGAGCCCAAAGGAUGGGAGAAAAUCUUUACCAGCUAUUCCUCUGACAGGGGAUGAAUAUUCAGAAUAUAUAAAGAACUCAAAAAUCUCAACACUACAGAAACAAAUAACUUUCUUAUGUUUACAUAUGAAUACAGAACCAGUGUAACUCACAUCAUGUACAACCCCAAGAAUGGGCACUUAUUCUCCAUGUAUGUAAGGUAUGUCAAAAUAUAUUCUACUAUCAUGUAUAACUAAAAAGAACAAACAAGAAGAAAUAGAUGCAAGCAUAUAUGAUCCAUUGACUUUUGCUAAAAAUGCCAAGAAAAACCAAUGAGAGCUAUCUUUUUAGUAAAUGGUAUUG
Long non-coding RNA from Sciurus carolinensis (gray squirrel), 1218 nucleotides. RefSeq lists it as uncharacterized. The record is from RefSeq and is a predicted model, not a curated record. Lineage: Eukaryota; Metazoa; Chordata; Mammalia; Rodentia; Sciuridae. The transcript has 4 exons.